GAACUGCGCAAACGUUAUUCGGAAUCACUGGGGCUUAAAGAGUCCGUAGGCGGCUCGGCAGGUGAGGUGUGAAAUCCCACGGGCUCAACCGUGGGAAUUGCGCUUCAAACCGCCGGGCUAGAGGGAGAUAGAGGAGAGCGGAACUGAUGGUGGAGCGGUGAAAUGCGUUGAUAUCAUCAGGAACACCGGUGGCGAAAGCGGCUCUCUGGGUCUCUUCUGACGCUGAGGGACGAAAGCUAGGGGAGCGAACGGGAUUAGAUACCCCGGUAGUCCUAGCUGUAAACGAUGAGCACUAGAUCGAGGGGACUCCCACAUCCUCUUGGUCGGAGCGAAAGUGUUAAGUGCUCCGCCUGGGGAGUAUGGUCGCAAGGCUG
Molecule: ribosomal RNA, 374 nt
Filed under: uncultured organism
Description: partial 16S ribosomal RNA
Rfam family: Bacterial small subunit ribosomal RNA
Source: RNAcentral